This 776-nucleotide ribosomal RNA is filed under the name uncultured Neocallimastigales. RNAcentral describes it as "partial large subunit ribosomal RNA". It matches the Rfam family "Eukaryotic large subunit ribosomal RNA", at positions 24 to 616 of the family's 3401-position model. Lineage: Eukaryota; Fungi; Neocallimastigomycota; Neocallimastigomycetes; Neocallimastigales. The record is from RNAcentral.
GUAGUCUCGCACAGAUGCAUAUCAAUAAGCGGAGGAAAAGAAACUAACAAGGAUUCCCUUAGUAACGGCGAGUGAAGCGGGAAGAGCUCAAAUUUGAAAUCUUCAAGGGUUUACCUUUACGAAUUGUAGUUUAAAGAAGUGUUUUCUGUUGAGGUUUUGGUAAAAGUUCUUUGGAAUAGGACAUCAUAGAGGGUGAGAAUCCCGUAUUUGACCAUUACUUUCAACUGUGUGAUACACUUUCAAAGAGUCGGAUUGUUUGGGAAUGCAGUCCAAAAUGGGUGGUAAAUUUCAUCUAAAGCUGAAGUAUUGGCGAGAGAGCCGAUAGCGAACAAGUACCGUGAGGGAAAGAUGAAAAGAACUUUGAAAAGAGAGUUAAACAGUACGUGAAAUUGUCAAAAGGGAAGCGUCUGACACCAGUGUUGUUUUCUCGAAAAUCAAUUAAAAAGAGUUAGAUUUUGUUGUGUAUUGACCUUAACAGCUUGCAUUUCAAUUUUCUUGCUUUUUUUAAUGCACUUUUCGUUUAACGAGUCAACAUCAGUUUCUUUUGUUGUAAAAAGGUCAUUGGAAGGUGGCUUUCUUUUCGGAGAAAGUGUUUAUAGCCUUUGACUCCUGCAAUCGGAGAGACUGAGGUCUGCAGCGUAGAUCCUUCGGGGUUAGAUACAUUUGUGCUAAGUUAUAGCUUUUUAUAGACAACUUGUUGACUAUGAUUAGUCUUGUAGCUUACUCGCUUAUGCUAUUUUACCUACGCUUAGGAUGUUGAGCGCAUGUCUCUCUCU